UUGUUUUAUGCGAUUUGUAUUGUCACAGUAUUUUUUAUGAAGUUAUUUAACGCUAAAACAGAAUGAGUAUAAAAUAACAUCUUUCUUUCCGUCAUUUCAAAACUUUGCACUAAAAAUGACUCCUAGAAGCUUUGUAAUUGUAUCAACAAUCUUUUUGUUAUCGAAUGUUUCAGCUGGACCUCUUUUUAGAACAAUCAAUGAUGCUUUAGGAGUUGCUGGUGACACUGUAUCAGUUCUUGUUUCAUUUCU
Parasteatoda tepidariorum (common house spider) is the source of this 249-nucleotide long non-coding RNA. Lineage: Eukaryota; Metazoa; Arthropoda; Arachnida; Araneae; Theridiidae. The record is from RefSeq and is a predicted model, not a curated record.